This 469-nucleotide ribosomal RNA is filed under the name uncultured bacterium. RNAcentral describes it as "bacterial SSU rRNA". It matches the Rfam family "Bacterial small subunit ribosomal RNA", at positions 28 to 507 of the family's 1533-position model. The record is from RNAcentral.
GACGAACGCUGGCGGCGUGCCUAAAACAUGCAAGUCGAACGAGGUAGCAAUACCUAGUGGCGAACGGCGGAGUAAUACAUGAACAACGUGCCCUGAAGUCCGGGACAAACGCAGAAAUGUCAUAAAUACCGGAUGUGGCCCCUUAUUGGCAUCAGUGAGGGAUUAAAUGGUUUUUCGCUUCAGGAGCGGUUCAUGGCCUAUCAGGUAGUUGGUGGGGUAAUGGCCUACCAAGCCGACGACAGGUAGCGGGUCUGAGAGGAUGAUCCGCUCGAGUGGGACUGAGACACGGCCCACACACCUACGGGUGGCAGCAGUUGGGAAUCUUGGUCAAUGGAGGGAACUCUGAACCAGCCAUCCCGCGUGAAGGAUGAAGGGGCUCUGCCUUGUAAACUUCUUUUGCAUGGGACGAAAAAACUUAAUUUAUUAAGGACUGACGGUACCAUGAGAAUAAGCACCGGCUAACUCCGUG